Molecule: non-coding RNA, 72 nt
Organism: Podarcis lilfordi (Lilford's wall lizard)
Lineage: Eukaryota; Metazoa; Chordata; Lepidosauria; Squamata; Lacertidae
Source: the annotation of a GenBank genome assembly
GGACAAUAGUUCAGUGGUGGAAUUUCUUGCCUUGCAAGCAGAAGGUCCCAGGUUCAAUUUCUGUCAUCUCCA